GAUGAAGAACGCAGCGAAAUGCGAUAAGUAAUGUGAAUUGCAGAAUUCAGUGAAUCAUCGAAUCUUUGAACGCACAUUGCGCCCAUUAGCAUUCUAGUGGGCAUGCCUGUUCGAGCGUCAUUUCAACCCUUAAGCCCUGUUGCUUAGCGUUGGGAGCCUACAGUACUGUAGCUCCCCAAAGUUAGUGGCGGAGUCGGUUUCACACUCUAGACGUAGUAAUUUUUUCUCGUCUGUAGUUGAUCCGGUCCCCUGCCGUAAAACACCCAAUUUAUCAAGGUUGACCUCGGAUCAGGUAGGAAUACCCGCUGAACUUAAGCAUAUCAAUAAGCGGAGGA
This 335-nucleotide unclassified non-coding RNA is filed under the name soil metagenome. RNAcentral describes it as "partial contains 5.8S ribosomal RNA, internal transcribed spacer 2, and large subunit ribosomal RNA". The stretch from base 1 to 120 matches the Rfam family "5.8S ribosomal RNA", at positions 35 to 154 of the family's 154-position model. The record is from RNAcentral.